This 393-nucleotide RNase P RNA is filed under the name Magnetococcales bacterium. RNAcentral describes it as "RNase P RNA component class A". It matches the Rfam family "Bacterial RNase P class A". From Rfam's summary of the family: Ribonuclease P (RNase P) is a ubiquitous endoribonuclease, found in archaea, bacteria and eukarya as well as chloroplasts and mitochondria. The record is from RNAcentral. Lineage: Bacteria; Pseudomonadati; Pseudomonadota; Magnetococcia; Magnetococcales.
GAAGCGGGCUGGGACGUCGCCGGUGGGGCGGGCAACCGUCACACGGGAGGAAAGUCCGGGCUUCACAGGGCAGGAUGCCGGGUAACGCCCGGCGGGGGCAACCCCAGGGACAGUGCCACAGAGAGCAGACCACCGGUCCGGGGAGUUUCACUCCCUGCCGGCAAGGGUGAAAGGGUGCGGUAAGAGCGCACCGCGUCCCUGGUAACAGGGAUGGCAGGGUAAACCCCAUCCGAAGCAAGACCAAAUCGGGGACAUACACGGGUAGCCCGCCCGGUCCCAGGGUAGGUCGCUUGAGAUGGCCGGCAACGGUCGUCGUAGAUGAAUGUCGUCCUCUCCGCCACCCUUAGGAAAGGUGGUGGAUGACAGAACCCGGCUUACAGGCCCGCUUCGGCU